GACGAACGCUGGCGGCGUGCUUAACACAUGCGAGUCGAACGGAAAGGCCCUUCGGGGUCCUCGAGUGGCGAACGGGUGAGUAACACGUGGGUGAUCUGCCCUGCACUUUGGGAUAAGCCUGGGAAACUGGGUCUAAUACCGAAUAGGACCACGCGCUUCAUGGUGUGUGGUGGAAAGCUUUUGCGGUGUGGGAUGGGCCCGCGGCCUAUCAGCUUGUUGGUGGGGUAAUGGCCUACCAAGGCGACGACGGGUAGCCGGCCUGAGAGGGUGACCGGCCACACUGGGACUGAGAUACGGCCCAGACUCCUACGGGAGGCAGCAGUGGGGAAUAUUGCACAAUGGGCGCAAGCCUGAUGCAGCGACGCCGCGUGAGGGAUGACGGCCUUCGGGUUGUAAACCUCUUUCAAUAGGGACGAAGCGCAAGUGACGGUACCUAGAGAAGAAGCACCGGCCAACUACGUG
Molecule: ribosomal RNA, 462 nt
Filed under: uncultured bacterium
Lineage: Bacteria
Description: partial 16S ribosomal RNA
Rfam family: Bacterial small subunit ribosomal RNA
Source: RNAcentral